This is a long non-coding RNA of Mytilus trossulus (common blue mussel), 620 nucleotides long. RefSeq lists it as uncharacterized. NCBI's taxonomy places the organism in Eukaryota, Metazoa, Mollusca, Bivalvia, Mytilida, Mytilidae. The record is from RefSeq and is a predicted model, not a curated record. The transcript has 2 exons.
GUUUGUUUGUUAUGUUCAAACAAUGUUUUUUGUUUUGAUUUCUAUUUAGUUUUUCACAACGAAAGGUUAUGAUUUUCCUAUACAUUUCCACAUCAGAGGAUGUUUCGUAGUAGAGAGGACAUUAGAAAGAGGAUGUUAUCGAGACAAACGGAUCAUUAAUCGACAGAGAGGUGUUUUGUCUAACUUCUUCAAAGAAAUAAUUUCUUCGCAAAUCGGAGAAGUUGAUGCAAAAUUUUGCGUAAAUGAAGCCAACAACUUAAGUACAUGGGGCUUUAAUGCGUCAAAAGAAUACUUAUUGCAGGGUUUUGUCAUGUGCUUGUUGUGUUAUGGUUGUAUUCUUUAUACAAUUUAAAUUUUUACAUAAUUGUAAAUCAGACAGGUCAUUUGUGGUAAUUUAAAAUGGUACAUAACAUGACAGGGAGAAACCUCUGUAAAAAUCAGCUGAACGUUUUAAUCACAUUCUAUUAUUGAGGAAUAUUAGGCUUCUCAAUGAUCAGAACUGGAGUUCAUUAAACUGUUAUAAAACUAGAAAAAAAAAUUCCGAUCAAAUGUGUGGUUCAAGAUUUUAUAUUUUUGUCAAAUAUUUAUGAAAAUUAAAUGAGCAAAAUAAUUUUAGUCAA